RNAcentral lists this ribosomal RNA (1263 nucleotides) under human gut metagenome. Its description in RNAcentral is "bacterial LSU rRNA". It matches the Rfam family "Bacterial large subunit ribosomal RNA", at positions 1156 to 2432 of the family's 2925-position model. The record is from RNAcentral.
AUGUUGCGCCGAAGAUAACCGGGGCUAAAACCUGACACCGAAGCUUGGGAAUCAUACGAUAAGUAUGAUUGGUAGAGGAGCAAUCCUAACGCGCAGAAGCUAUAGCGGAAGCGGUAGUGGAGAGUUAGGAAGAGAGAAUGCCGGCAUAAGUAGCGAAAGAGGAGCGAGAAACUCCUCCGUCGAAAGCCUAAGGUUUCCUGGGGAAGGUUCGUCCGCCCAGGGUAAGUCGGGACCUAAGUCGAGGCCGAAAGGCGUAGAUGAUGGACAAACGGUUGAGAUUCCGUUACCGUCGUACAGACCGAAGCAGGGACACAGAAGGAUAGUCAGACCACGGGGAUGGAAAGCCGUGGGCAAGCACUGAGGCCGGGUGGCAGUGAAGUACACCACCCGUUAAGGCUGGGGUGUGAAGCGGAGCGGACAAGAGAAGCGAAGCUGACGAAUUCACGCUGGCGAGAAAAGCUGCUAGGAUAUGUGUAAGGCGCCCGUACCGCAAACCGACACAGGUAGGCGGCAAGAAAAUUGCAAGACGAGCGGGAUAACCUUUGUUAAGGAACUCGGCAAAAUGACCCCGUAACCUCGGGAGAAGGGGAGCCUGGAGACAGGCCACAGAAAAGAGGCCCAAGCGACUGUUUACCUAAAACACAGGUCUCUGCGAAAGCGAAAGCUGAAGUAUAGGGGCUGACGCCUGCCCGGUGCCGGAAGGUCAAGGGGAUGUGUUAGGAUUUAGUCCGAAGCAUUGAACUUAAGCCCCGGUGAACGGCGGCCGUAACUAUAACGGUCCUAAGGUAGCGAAAUUCCUUGUCAGGUAAGUUCUGACCCGCAUGAAUGGCGUAACGAUUUGGGCGCUGUCUCAACAAGGGACCCGGCGAAAUUGUAGUAUAUGUGAAGAUGCAUAUUACCCGCGACUGGACGGAAAGACCCCGUAGAGCUUUACUGCAGUUUGGCAUUGAGUUUCGGUAAUGGAUGCACAGGAUAGGUGGGACGCUGAGAGACCCGGGUUUCGGCCUGGGAGGAGCGGCCGUUGGGAUACCACCCUUCUGUUACUGGAAUUCUCAACGGAAUGCGGUUACCCCGGUUCCGGACAUUGUCAGGCGGGCAGUUUGACUGGGGCGGUCGCCUCCUAAAGAGUAACGGAGGCGCUCAAAGGUUCUCUCAGAAUGGUUGGAAACCAUUUGCAGAGCGUAAAGGUAUAAGAGAGCUUAACUGCGAGACAAACGAGUCAAGCAGAUACGAAAGUAGGACUUAGUGAUCCGGCGGUAGAGA